CCUACGGGAGGCAGCAGUGGGGAAUAUUGCACAAUGGGGGAAACCCUGAUGCAGCGACGCCGCGUGAGUGAAGAAGUAUUUCGGUAUGUAAAGCUCUAUCAGCAGGGAAGAAGAAAGACGGUACCUGACUAAGAAGCCCCGGCUAACUACGUGCCAGCAGCCGGGGUAAUACGUAGGGGGCAAGCGUUAUCCGGAUUUACUGGGUGUAAAGGGAGCGUAGACGGCUGUGCAAGUCUGAAGUGAAAGCCCAGGGCUCAACCCUGGGACUGCUUUGGAAACUGUGGAGCUAGAGUGCUGGAGAGGUAAGUGGAAUUCCUGGUGUAGCGGUGAAAUGCGUAGAUAUUAGGAGGAACACCAGUGGCGAAGGCGGCUUACUGGACAGUAACUGACGUUGAGGCUCGAAAGCGUGGGGAGCGAACAGGAUUAGAUACCCUUGUAGUC
This 441-nucleotide ribosomal RNA is filed under the name uncultured bacterium. RNAcentral describes it as "partial 16S ribosomal RNA". It matches the Rfam family "Bacterial small subunit ribosomal RNA", at positions 338 to 795 of the family's 1533-position model. The record is from RNAcentral.